Molecule: ribosomal RNA, 497 nt
Filed under: uncultured bacterium
Lineage: Bacteria
Description: partial 16S ribosomal RNA
Rfam family: Bacterial small subunit ribosomal RNA
Source: RNAcentral
GAUGAACGCUGGCGGCGUGCCUAAUACAUGCAAGUCGAGCGAACAGACGAGGAGCUUGCUCCUCUGACGUUAGCGGCGGACGGGUGAGUAACACGUGGAUAACCUACCUAUAAGACUGGGAUAACUUCGGGAAACCGGAGCUAAUACCGGAUAAUAUAUUGAACCGCAUGGUUCAAUAGUGAAAGACGGUUUUGCUGUCACUUAUAGAUGGAUCCGCGCCGCAUUAGCUAGUUGGUAAGGUAACGGCUUACCAAGGCAACGAUGCGUAGCCGACCUGAGAGAGUGAUCGGCCACACUGGAACUGAGACACGGUCCAGACUCCUACGGGAGGCAGCAGUAGGGAAUCUUCCGCGAUGGGCGAAAGCCUGACGGAGCAACGCCGCGUGAGUGAUGAAGGUCUUCGGAUCGUAAAACUCUGUUAUUAGGGAAGAACAAAUGUGUAAGUAACUAUGCACGUCUUGACGGUACCUAAUCAGAAAGCCACGGCUAACUACGUG